This is a non-coding RNA of Danio rerio (zebrafish), 179 nucleotides long. Lineage: Eukaryota; Metazoa; Chordata; Actinopteri; Cypriniformes; Danionidae. The record is from RefSeq and is a predicted model, not a curated record.
AUCAGGAUCAAAUGUGUCCAGCUCUGUGUUUCUAUUGAAUGACCGCUUAAAGCUACAUCAAAACAUCAGCUCAAAAGAUCAUCUACCAGACCUCAGGGAGAAAACACCAUCAUCUGCCAAAAGUGUGAGAUCAGGAUCAUGUGUGUCCAGCUCUGUGUAUCUGAAGAGUGACGGGUCAA